CUCGUGUCGUGAGAUGUUGGUUAAGUCCCGCAACGAGCGCAACCCCUAUUGUUAGUUGCCAUCAUUCAGUUGGGCACUCUAGCGAGACUGCCGGUAAUAAACCGGAGGAAGGUGGGGAUGACGUCAAAUCAUCAUGCCCCUUAUGACCUGGGCUACACACGUGCUACAAUGGUUGGUACAACGAGUUGCGAGUCGGUGACGGCGAGCUAAUCUCUUAAAGCCAAUCUCAGUUCGGAUUGUAGGCUGCAACUCGCCUACAUGAAGUCGGAAUCGCUAGUAAUCGCGGAUCAGCACGCCGCGGUGAAUACGUUCCCGGGCCUU
Molecule: ribosomal RNA, 321 nt
Filed under: uncultured Streptococcus sp.
Lineage: Bacteria; Bacillati; Bacillota; Bacilli; Lactobacillales; Streptococcaceae
Description: bacterial SSU rRNA
Rfam family: Bacterial small subunit ribosomal RNA
Source: RNAcentral